UCGAGUGCUUACCUCGGGUAUGUAAGAUGUCGUGAGUCGUGGAUGAUACGGAAGCUCCUCGAAUCUUGUGAGUACAAUGUGCAACCUCUGCAGAGUGUAACACUAUUCGAAUAGUCGUGUCCACGAUCUAGGAGAGUUGGGUAAUCCUUAUUAAACUUUGCCUAUAAUUUUUUUCACAAACAAAGUGUGCAUGGGUGAAAAAGAUGAUUGUGGGUGAGAAUGGUGAUAUUUGAGCUAAGUCACAUGACUUGGCAUGACAAAUAAAUGUGGGACGUUCAACCACUUCUUAAAGAUGAUACUUAUAACUUGUUCCUAUGGAUAUUUGCAACUUGUUGAUGCAUACUUUUCCAAGAUUGAUCAUGUCAUUGCACUCAAAAUUAG
Molecule: long non-coding RNA, 381 nt
Filed under: Hordeum vulgare
Lineage: Eukaryota; Viridiplantae; Streptophyta; Magnoliopsida; Poales; Poaceae
Description: long non-coding RNA (HVUL_LNC015830)
Source: RNAcentral